UAUCUCUGUAGAGUCUGCAUAUCAAUAAGCGGAGGAAAAGAAACGAACAAGGAUUCCCUUAGUAACGGCGAGUGAAGCGGGAAGAGCUCAAAUUUGAAAUCUUCAAGGUUUUACCUUGACGAAUUGUAGUUUAAAGAAGUGUUUUCUGUUGAAGUUUCGGUAAAAGUUCUUUGGAAUAGGACAUCAUAGAGGGUGAGAAUCCCGUAUUUGACCGUUAUUUUCAGCUGUGUGAUACACUUUCAAAGAGUCGGAUUGUUUGGGAAUGCAGUCCAAAAUGGGUGGUAAAUUUCAUCUAAAGCUAAAUAUUGGCGAGAGACCGAUAGCGAACAAGUACCGUGAGGGAAAGAUGAAAAGAACUUUGAAAAGAGAGUUAAACAGUACGUGAAAUUGUCAAAAGGGAAGCGUUUGACACCAGUGUUGUUUUCUCGAAAAUCAAUUAAAAAUGACCGGAUUUUGUGUUGUAUUGACUUUAUCAGCUUUCUGCACUUUUUUCUAGUCUUUUUUAAUGCACUUUUCGUUUAACAAGUCAACAUCAAUUUCUUUUGUUGUAAAAGGGUCAUUGGAAGGUGGCUUUCACUUCGGUGAAAGUGUUUAUAGCCUUUGACUUCUGCAAUCGGAGAGAUUGAGGUCUGCAGCGUAGAUUCCUCGGGGUUAGAUACAUUUGUGCUAAGUUAUAGUUUUUCAUAGACAACAUGUUGACUAUGAUUAAUCAUGUAGCUUACUCGCUUAUGCUAUUUUACCUACGCUUAGGAUGUUGAACGCGCACAGAGUCUC
Molecule: ribosomal RNA, 774 nt
Filed under: uncultured Neocallimastigales
Lineage: Eukaryota; Fungi; Neocallimastigomycota; Neocallimastigomycetes; Neocallimastigales
Description: partial large subunit ribosomal RNA
Rfam family: Eukaryotic large subunit ribosomal RNA
Source: RNAcentral